UGGACUACUGGGGUUUCUAAUCCUGUUUGCUCCCCAUGCUUUCGCACCUCAGCGUCAGUGUUAGGCCAGAUGGCUGCCUUCGCCAUCGGUAUUCCUCCAGAUCUCUACGCAUUUCACCGCUACACCUGGAAUUCUACCAUCCUCUCCCACACUCUAGCUAACCAGUAUCGAAUGCAAUUCCCAAGUUAAGCUCGGGGAUUUCACAUUUGACUUAAUUAGCCGCCUACGCGCGCUUUACGCCCAGUAAAUCCGAUUAACGCUUGCACCCUCUGUAUUACCGCGGCUGCUGGCACC
Molecule: unclassified non-coding RNA, 294 nt
Filed under: uncultured fungus
Lineage: Eukaryota; Fungi
Description: sequence contains ITS1
Source: RNAcentral